Molecule: small RNA, 80 nt
Filed under: Pseudoxanthobacter soli DSM 19599
Lineage: Bacteria; Pseudomonadati; Pseudomonadota; Alphaproteobacteria; Hyphomicrobiales; Segnochrobactraceae
Description: Makes More Granules Regulator RNA (mmgR)
Rfam family: Makes More Granules Regulator RNA (mmgR)
About the family: SuhB later renamed mmgR (makes more granules regulator) was a putative non-coding RNA found multiple times in the Agrobacterium tumefaciens genome and related alpha-proteobacteria.
Source: Rfam by way of RNAcentral
CCGCGCCGCCCUCCUUGGGCGUUUCCUCCCUAGACUUGGGCCGUCGACGCUUCCGCGGACGGCCCUUUUUCUUUUCUGGG